Molecule: ribosomal RNA, 406 nt
Filed under: uncultured bacterium
Lineage: Bacteria
Description: partial 16S ribosomal RNA
Rfam family: Bacterial small subunit ribosomal RNA
Source: RNAcentral
AUUGAACGCUGGCGGCAGGCCUAACACAUGCAAGUCGAACGAGUGGCGGACGGGUUAGUUAUGUCUGGGAAACUGCCUGAUGGAGGGGGAUAACUACUGGACACGGUAGCUAAUUCCGCCUACCUUCAGCUGUGCCCAGAUGGGAUUAGCUUGUGGGGGGGGUAACGGCUCACCAAGGCGACGAUCCCUACCUGGUCUGAGAGGAUGACCAGCCACACUGGAACUGAGACACGGUCCAGACUCCUACGGGAGGCAGCAGUGGGGAAUAUUGCACAAUGGGCGAAAGCCUGAUGCAGCCAUGCCGCGUGUAUGAAGAAGGCCUUCGGGUUGUAAAGUACUUUAAGCGGGGAGGCGUUACCAGCAGAAGAAGCACCGGCUAACUCCGUGCCAGCCGCCGCGGUAAUUC